Molecule: ribosomal RNA, 492 nt
Filed under: uncultured bacterium
Lineage: Bacteria
Description: partial 16S ribosomal RNA
Rfam family: Bacterial small subunit ribosomal RNA
Source: RNAcentral
AGUGAACGCUGGCGGUAGGCCUAACACAUGCAAGUCGAACGGCAGCACAGUAAGAGCUUGCUCUUACGGGUGGCGAGUGGCGGACGGGUGAGGAAUACAUCGGAAUCUACUUUUUCGUGGGGGAUAACGUAGGGAAACUUACGCUAAUACCGCAUACGACCUACGGGUGAAAGCAGGGGAUCUUCGGACCUUGCGCGAUUGAAUGAGCCGAUGUCGGAUUAGCUAGUUGGCGGGGUAAGGGCCCACCAAGGCGACGAUCCGUAGCUGGUCUGAGAGGAUGAUCAGCCACACUGGAACUGAGACACGGUCCAGACUCCUACGGGAGGCAGCAGUGGGGAAUAUUGGGCAGUGGGCGCAAGCCUGAUCCAGCCAUACCGCGUGGGUGAAGAAGGCCUUCGGGUUGUAAAGCCCUUUUGUUGGGAAAGAAAAGCAGCAGGUUAAUACCCCGCUGUUCUGACGGUACCCAAAGAAUAAGCACCGGCUAACUUCGUG